RNAcentral lists this ribosomal RNA (55 nucleotides) under Fomitiporia mediterranea. Its description in RNAcentral is "partial 28S ribosomal RNA". The record is from RNAcentral. Lineage: Eukaryota; Fungi; Basidiomycota; Agaricomycetes; Hymenochaetales; Hymenochaetaceae.
GACCCCAAUCAGGUAGGACUACCCGCUGAACUAAGCUUCCAAUAAGCGGGAGAAA